UUCGCAAUGCCCGAAAGGGUGACGAAGCGACGCCGCGUGGGUGAGGAAGGCCUUCGGGUUGUAAAGCCCUGUCAGGAGUUAAGGAAUAUAAGUGUGUUAAUACCGCAUUUAUUUGACGAAGGCUCCAAAGGAAGCCACGGCUAACUCUGUGCCAGCAGCCGCGGUAAUACAGAGGUGGCAAGCGUUGUUCGGAAUUAUUGGGCGUAAAGAGCACGUAGGUGGGUUUGUAAGUCAGAUGUGAAAGCCUUCUGUUCAACGGGAGAAUUGCAUCUGAAACUGCAAGUCUUGAGUAUAGGAGGGGAGAAUGGAACUUCUGGUGGAGCGGUGAAAUGCGUAGAUAUCAGAAGGAACGCCGGCGGCGAAAGCGAUUCUCUGGCCUAUUACUGACACUCAGUGUGCGAAAGCUAGGGGAGCAAACGGGAUUAGAUACCCCGGUAGUCCUAGCUGUAAACGAUGGGCACUAAGUAGAGGGGUUUU
Molecule: ribosomal RNA, 477 nt
Filed under: uncultured anaerobic ammonium-oxidizing bacterium
Lineage: Bacteria
Description: bacterial SSU rRNA
Rfam family: Bacterial small subunit ribosomal RNA
Source: RNAcentral